CUACGGGGGGCAGCAGUGGGGAAUAUUGGACAAUGGGGGCAACCCUGAUCCAGCAAUGUCGCGUGUGUGAAGAAGGCCUGCGGGUUGUAAAGCACUUUCAGUCGGGAGGAAAAGGGGUCGGUGAAUAACCGGCUUCCUUGACGUAACCGGCAGAAGAAGCACCGGCUAACUCCGUGCCAGCAGCCGCGGUAAUACGGAGGGUGCGAGCGUUAAUCGGAAUUACUGGGCGUAAAGGGCGCGUAGGCGGCCUGAUCAGUCUGAUGUGAAAGCCCCGGGCUUAACCUGGGAAUGGCAUUGGAUACUGUCGGGCUAGAGUUUGGUAGAGGGAAGUGGAAUUUCCGGUGUAGCGGUGAAAUGCGUAGAGAUCGGAAGGAACACCAGUGGCGAAGGCGACUUUCUGGACCAAAACUGACGCUGAGGUGCGAAAGCGUGGGUAGCAAACAGGAUUAGAUACCCCAGUAGUC
This 464-nucleotide ribosomal RNA is filed under the name uncultured bacterium. Its description in RNAcentral is "partial 16S ribosomal RNA". It matches the Rfam family "Bacterial small subunit ribosomal RNA", at positions 339 to 795 of the family's 1533-position model. The record is from RNAcentral.